GAACUGAAUUUUACUGGUUAAUUGAAUUUUUUAGGGCAGUUUUUGGUUUUCUAUUCAGCUUUUAGUUUUUGCCUUUUCUCUCUUCCCCCUUCUAUUACAGUCCCAGGUUAAGGAUCUAGUUAUGGGUCUGUUGGGUAAGGGUGUGGAAGGGUUUUGGCAGAUCUGGUUGGGGUUUUCUUUUUACGACCUAUGUUUAGUGUUGGUAUAGGCUCUAAGGAGGGAACUUGAGAACGUCUUGAGUCUAUAGUGCUCAAAAAGAAGGUUGGAAGGUUUGAAUGGAUCAACCCUCCUUGGUCUUCACACGUGGCAGCUUGCUCUUCAAUCCAUGAGUGAAGCCUUUGUAGACUUGAAGUGGUCUGCUAACAUUACUCCCCUCCUCCAAACUGCGCUUGUCCUCAAGCGAAAAAUCUGAGUACUACUGGUAAAAACUUUUGGCAUUCUCUUAGGAAGCAUCAGCAGGUGACGAAUCUUGCUAAUGGACCAAGAUUUCAAGUUGCCCAACUUUGGUUCGAUGAUCCAAAAUGGCAAGGGGUUGGUGAAAUGUGGAGUUAGGUGGGUUAAGUGGCAGUACUGGAAUGUAAGAAUCCUAUCCUUCAUGAUAAGGUUUAAGGCUGGAAAUGUGAAAAACAAGAUGGAUUUUUGAGUAUGGUGGUAAAGCUAAUUUAUAGGCCAUGAACCCAAUUCUUUCAAGGAUUGAAAAAGGGCCAUAAAAUUUAGCUGCGGGCUUUUGAUUGCGUCGGGUGGCAACUGAACCUUGGCAAUAUGGUUGAAGGCGGAGUAAAACUUGAUCGCCGACUUGGAAUUCCAACUUGUGGUGAUUUUUGCCAUAGCUAUGCUUCAUUUUCUGUUGAGCUCGAAGCAAAUUUUGGUGUAGCAUCUUCAAAAAUCUCAUUAGCAUCAAUUGAGGAACUUCUAGCACAAUAUGAUAGCAAAUGAGGAGGAGGACGACCGUACACUACUUCAAAAGGGGUUGCUUUGAGAGAAGAGUGGAAAUUGGUAUUAUAACAAUAUUCUACCCAUGAGAACCAGUUAAUCCACUUGCUGGGUUGUUCACUUGUGAAACAGCGGAGGUACAUUGUGCGGUUGAUCAAGGUGAUAGGCUGAACUGAAUAAUAAUUUGGUGCCACAAACGAAAUAACUCUUUCGAAAAAGAACUUGUGAAGGUAACAUCAUGAACACUGAUGAUAAUUUCAAGUAACUCAUGUAAUUUAAAAAUAUGGUCAAAGAAAGAACGAGCGACACUUAUAUGGGUGGGAGAGAGGAAUAAAGUGGUUGUAUUUCAAAAAUCUGUACCUUCCACAAAAUCUAAAGAGAUAUCAGUCCAUAUUUGUUCAGGAAGAAGAAGAGGCUGGAGAAGACCGGCAGGUUGUAAAGUUUCAGAUUUGUGACGUUGGCAUGUACCACAAGCUCGAACAAAGUCACAUACAUAAAGUUUUAUUCUCGGCCAAUAGAAAUCACGAGUAAUUCUGUGCACUGUCUUUUGAUAUCCUUCACGACCUUGAUUAUGCAAGGCAGUCACCACAAGCUGGAUAGAUGGAGAGUGUUUGGAUAGAAAUACUAUUUUUAUAGAAAAGAAGGCCUUGCUUAAAACUCCAGGAAUCUGUUGUCGUGCUAUUCUGGACUUGAGAAAUUAGUUGUUUUAUCUCACCCGAUUCACGUUGUUCCUUUUGUAUGUCAUCAAACAAACUGAGUUGUGGCAUAGAAAUUGCCAAGAGGAUCGAUUGAUCCGCAUCUCGGCGUGAAAGAGCUUCUGCAACUAUGUUGUGGCGGCUAGCUUUAUAUUCCACUGUAAAAGAAAAACCCAAAAGUUUAUUAACCCAAUAGUGCUGAGGCGAAAAAAGAGACCUCUAUUCCAAUAAAAAUUUUAAAAUGUAGUGAUUUGUUCGCACGAUAAACUUGCACCCCCACAAGUAAGAGUUCCAGUAUUUGACAGCUUUAACCAAUUCAAUUAACUCUUUCUCAUAAGUUGGAAGAUUUUGACGACAAACCACCAUGGGUCUAUUGAAAUAAGCCAUAGGUUUGUUUUGUUGUAAGAGAACGGCCCCUAUGCCUACAUCCGAAGCAUCACAUUCAAUGACAAAAAGCUGAUCGAAAUCAGGUAGAGUGAGAAUAGAAAUGGUUGUCAUCACCUUCUUCAAUUCCCCAAAAGCUGUUACGGCAACUGCAGUCCAAUGUAAGUAAUUCUUUCGUAGCAUGACUGUGAGUGGGGUGGCUAUUAUUCCAUAAUUAUGGGCUUCUAUACUAGCCAUUAAGCUCUAAAAAUCCUCUUAACCCCCAAAUUGUUGUGGGCGUGGGCCAAUCCAGUACUGCAGAAAUCUUGGACUGGUCUAUCUGUACUCCUUGUGGUGUUAUAACAUGACCCAAGUAGGCAACCUGAUUCUGAGCAAAAGAACAUUUUGAUUUUUUAAGAAAUAACUUAUUAAGUGCCAAUAGAUGGAACACCAACUGCACAUGGUGGAGAUAUUCUGCCCAGGUUCGACUGAAAACAUAAUGUCGUCAAAAAAGACUUAACACGAAUUUUCUUAGAUAAGGUUGGAAUACCUCAUUCAUCAAGGCUUGGGAAGGUUGAAGGAGCCUUCAUGAGUCCAAACGGCAUUACAAAAAAAUCAAAGUGGCUGUGAUGUGUGAAACACUGUUUUUUCAAUAUCUGGAGGGUACAUGCAUACUUGAUGGUAACCGGACAAUAAAUCCAAUUUUGUGAAAAUUGGGCUUCUCCUAAUUCUUCCAAUAAUUCGUCAAUCACUACAAUGGAAAAUUUGUCUUUGAUUGUCCUGGAAUUCAACACUCGGUAAUCAACACAUAGCUCCUAAGGAAGGUGAACAACUAUGUCUGAUAAUUCCUUGUUGUAACAUAGCUGCACCUUACCUCUUAAUUUCAUCUUUUUGUCCAUGAGGGUAUCUAUAGGGAUGGGCGACAACCGGCCUUGCUCCCGGUUCCAAAGAAAUUCAAUGAUCAUGUCCUGCCAGAAGGAAGUUCCUUUGGGGUGUUGAAUAAUGAAGUGAACUCAGCCAACAAUUUUUGCAGUUGAAUGUCAGUAUCCUGUGAAAUAUUUAGGACGUCAAUGUUAGGUAAGAGCCUAGAAGGAGAAGUGUGGAUACCCUGUAACCCUCUUUGCUGUCCCUGUGUAAAAAAAGACAUACGCAUAAAAAUAAAAUCCCAAAGAAUGGAUCCCAAAGUGCGAAGCCAAUUAACUCUCAACACUACAUCAAAAUCACUUAAAGGAAGGACAAAUAAAUCAAUGGAGAAAGAGUAAGAUUCUAGUUGUAGUGAGGUUCCUUUACAAAUUCCAGGACUGCUGAGUUGUUGUCCAUUCCAUUGGCUACAUUAACCUUUCAUCCAUCUCUUUUGUUCACUUGGGUAUUUAACUAAGCAACUACAAAUGCAUAGAUAAAGUUGUGGGUGUUGCCCGAGUCGAUGAGGACCAGGACGUGUCCACCGCUCCACACACCCUCCAAACGCAUAGUUUGGGAGUUCUGAAUUCCAGUAAUAGCAUUUAGUGAGAUUUCAAGAGAUUUCAGGAGGUGAUUCUUCUUGUGUAUGUGGAAUUGAGUAGUCCAUCUCCUCUUCUUCGAUCAAAUCAAUCCAAAAUAAUUUCUUGCAUUGAUGCCCACGGACAAAGGGUUCAUUGCAAUUAAAACAAAGCCUUUCUUUUGUCUCUCCUCCAACUCUUCCUAACUCAGCCUUUUCACAGUUUGAUUUGGUUGAACCUCCAUGGUAGAUGAAGCUCGUCUGUUUUCUCGGAACCCUGAUGAUCUUGGAAACAAUUUAGGUUCAUAUAGUCUAGACAUGCUCAUGGCUGUGACCAAAUCUUUGGGUUGAUGGAGCUCUACUUCAAUUGCUAUGGCGUCCUAUAGUCCAUUGAGGUAAAGCUAGACUUUUUGAUUCUGAGUAAGGACGCUAGCCUGAGAUACCAGAAUCUCAAACUUGUUUUGGUGUCGACCACCGUGCCCAACUGUUUGAGCUUGGCUAAUUCACCCAAUUUGUUACUUUGGAUUGGAGGUCCAAACCGGAGAUUGGAUUGGUGUUUGAACUCUUCCAUAACAGGAUAAGAUACAUCCUGUAGCAUCUGCAUAUACCAUAAUUGAGCAAUUCCCUCUAAAUGAUAGGAAGCUAAGCUCACUUUUUCGUCUUCUGGUGUCAAUUGGUGACGGAAGAAAUGCUCACAACGGCUAAGCCAGCCCAAGGGGUCUUCUAGCCCAUUAAACCGAGGAAAAUCAAGUUUGGUAAACUUUGGGACAAUGGAGUUUUCUUCAGAAUUUUCAAAAAUUGCUGCUCCAGAAAUUCCCUUGUCUUUACGUGUCUUGGAUUGGCUUGCCGCGCUAGUGAAUGACAUCCUUUGUUUUGCAAUUUCCAAGUACUGAGACAUUGUGUCCAUUUUGGCAUGAAUUUGUUCCACUUUCUCAUAUUGAGACUUGUUGGCUUGUUGCUUGGCUAAAAGUAAGGCAAAGAGUUUAUUGAGUUGUUCUUGUAUGGAGUCGCCCAUAACUAGUGGCUCUGAAAUUUGUUACGGUCCCGGAUUAAGGAUCUAGUUAUGGUCUGUUGGGUAAGGGUGUGGAAGUGUUUUGGCAGAUCUGGUUGGGGUUUUUCUUUUUAUGACCUAUGUUUACUGUUUGUACAGGCUCUAAUGAGGGAACCUGUGAACCUCUUGAGUCUAUAGUGCUCAAAAACUGAUUGAAUUGGAAGUUGCUUUCUUAUUGAUUUGUUGCGUUUAAAUACAUGGCUAGAGGUUAAAUACUGCCUGAAUUGAAGGAACAACACUUCAAAGUGGAGGACACACUCCUACAAAAAUGGUAACACAAAUGCAUAAAGGAAGUGGAGGAACACCCUCCUACAAAACUGGACUUUCAAUUAAAAAUAAAAAAUAUAAUCUAAAUUUAAAAAUUCUGGAAGGUUGGAAGGUUUGAAUGGAUCAACCCUCCUUGGUCUUCACACGUGGCAGCUUGCUCUUCAAUCCACGAGUGAAGCGUUUGUAGACCUGAAGUGGUCCGCUAACACCUCCCCACCCUCUGGCCCAAAAAAAUGCCAUUAGCAUCCUUAUCUCUAGAUGGUCAUUUCAUGUAAAUCUUGUUUAUUAACUGCCAAACAUUCGUGGACUUAUUUCAUAGCUUAUAUUGAAUUACGGUCUUGUAGAACCUUUCAACUUAAUGAAACUUUUGGAUCAGGUAACAUGCCUGUGGUACUUCCAUUGAAGAUUUUUGGGAAAAUUUUUAGUAUUCUUGUAUUUCACUCUUGAUUUGUACAAUAUGUCUACAUGGCUAUUUAUACACAAAGAAUCAUAUCUAAACAGGAAGCAAAUAAUCAAAUAAUAAUUACAGAGAUAAUUAAGGAUCCUAAUCAAAUCAAAUCAAAUCCCUAGAAUCAAUUAGGAUUAGCAAAU
RNAcentral lists this long non-coding RNA (5377 nucleotides) under Manihot esculenta (cassava). Its description in RNAcentral is "long non-coding RNA (MESC_LNC010668)". Lineage: Eukaryota; Viridiplantae; Streptophyta; Magnoliopsida; Malpighiales; Euphorbiaceae. The record is from RNAcentral.